UGGUAAAAACAACUGACGAGGAAACCAGGGAGCUCAUGCCUAAGCUCCGCCUUCUCUGCUAAAGCCACCUUUUUCUACCGUCAAUUGGAUGAUGAUCUGUCUGCUUAUCAUAACUCCAGUCUCUGAUAUACAGCAGCAUAUCAGAAGUCUGCUUAUUUUUCUUAUGUAUACUGAAGGAGUUUUUGUUUUUUUCCUUUCAAAGUCCAGUGAUCAGACUGCCACCAAAGAAUGUCUUACCAGCAAGCUAGCCAUCUCCCACUCAGUUUAGAUUUUUCUAAGCCUGGUAGACCUUUUUAUUUUCAUUAUCAGGAAGCUUUGUUGAGGUUGUACAUGUGCGCAUGUGAGAAGUGGAGAAUGUCUGAAAGAGGUGACCUUGGGCUUUUGAUAGUGGGCUAGUUUCAAGAGAGAAAAAGCUCCACACCUGUUUUUUUCACCUUAACCCUUUGCUGUCCUGUUUCACAUUUAUCAUUAAGGCGCCAUGUUACUGGAGAUCAAAGUGAAGUCCACGUGUUUACAUCGUCUUCUGGCAAGGGGUGUUCUCAGUGUGAGGUAGUAGGUUGUAUGGUUGAGAACUACAUCUUUGGGGAGAACUGUACAAUCUGCUAACUUUCCUUGGGUCGCUCCAUACAACAAGAAGCUCACGUGUUCAACCCGUUCUCCUUUUGAGUUAGCACUUGUUUUUCUUAUCUCUACACCCACGUGACGUCUUCUUUUCUUAUGUUCGCCUUUUCUUUAGGUUCAAAGCUGUUUUGUAAGUUGAGAAUGAACCGGUUUCUUUGUUAAGGAUUCUAUGAAAUAUUAAAACAAUACUUAAAAGUA
Molecule: long non-coding RNA, 819 nt
Organism: Limulus polyphemus (Atlantic horseshoe crab)
Lineage: Eukaryota; Metazoa; Arthropoda; Merostomata; Xiphosura; Limulidae
Exons: 2
Source: RefSeq, a predicted model, not a curated record